This 439-nucleotide ribosomal RNA is filed under the name uncultured bacterium. RNAcentral describes it as "partial 16S ribosomal RNA". It matches the Rfam family "Bacterial small subunit ribosomal RNA", at positions 339 to 795 of the family's 1533-position model. The record is from RNAcentral.
CUACGGGAGGCAGCAGUGAGGAAUAUUGCACAAUGGGGGGAACCCUGAUGCAGCAACGCCGCGUGGAGGAUGACGCAUUUCGGUGUGUAAACUCCGUUUAUAUGUCAAGAAAAUGACGGUAGCAUAUGAAUAAGCACCGGCUAACUCCGUGCCAGCAGCCGCGGUAAUACGGAGGGUGCAAGCGGUACUCGGAAUCACUGGGCGUAGAGGACGCGUAGGCGGGUUGGAAAGUCAGGUGUGAAAUCCUACAGCUUAACUGUAGAACUGCACUUGAAACUUCUAAUCUAGAGUAUGGGAGGGGGAGAUGGAAUUAGUGGUGUAGGGGUAAAAUCCGUAGAUAUCACUAGGAAUACCUAAAGCGAAGGCGAUCUCCUGGAACAUUACUGACGCUAAGGCGUGAAAGCGUGGGGAGCAAACAGGAUUAGAUACCCCGGUAGUC